Molecule: ribosomal RNA, 253 nt
Filed under: uncultured bacterium
Lineage: Bacteria
Description: partial 16S ribosomal RNA
Rfam family: Bacterial small subunit ribosomal RNA
Source: RNAcentral
UACGGAGGGUGCAAGCGUUAUCCGGAUUUACUGGGUCUAAAGGGUGCGUAGGCGGAUUUGUAAGUCAGUGGUGAAAGCCUGGAGCUUAACUCCGGAAUUGCCAUUGAUACUGCUUAUCUUGAGUACAGUUGAGGUGGGCGGAAUGUGUCAUGUAGCGGUGAAAUGCUUAGAUAUGACACAGAACACCGAUUGCGAAGGCAGCUCGCUAAACUGUAACUGACGCUGAGGCACGAAAGCGUGGGGAUCGAACAGG